CUGUGCCUUCCCUGAUGCACCCAGCCGGGGGCAGCCAGCAGGGACCACAGAAGCUGCUUCUAGCUGGGGCCCUUCCAUCCCUCUGACCCAGCGUCCAGGAUCGGCAGGCUGCAUCUUGCAAACCCGAGCUUCAGAAACUCGGAAUCAAGGAGGAUCUGGCUGGGGACUCUUGGGGGCUCCGUGGGCUGUUUUGUAACGACAGAGGGAGCGCCUCGCCCACACUCCGGAUCUGCCGCGCCCGCUGCCGCCCACGGACCCUGCGGAAUUAGCUCGCAAAUGGGAGGAACAGGUGACGGGCGCCUGCUCUGGGGACGUCAGCCCUCCCAUCUCACACCCGAGGCACCGGGCUGGCUGCGUCCCCGCUUUGCAAGAAAAUGACUUCCCUGCCAGAUGGGAGCAGGACGCCCACCUCCCCGCAGCUCCGGCGACAGAGCCCGCAGGAUCCCACACGGCAUGCAUUCCUGAAGCGUGGACGACAAGUGCUCCCGGUGCCCCAAUAAUUAACAAAAGGCCAUCGUCGCUGCCGUGCACCUGCUUCAGGACGUUUUCUUCCCAUGUGCUGAAUAGAGAGGAACAUUCCAGAAUGUGGAACUUGGGGCACCUGGACCUCGAGUCUAUGGAGAGACAUUCUAGGGAGGUAGCUUUCCACGUGGCAGAUCGGCAUAACUCUGGACUGAUUCGGGGAGAAAUCUCCCAGAAGUGUUUUUCUCACUGCCCUGCCUUAAAAAACAAAAUCACAACCCAAACAGAACCUUACGACUUCACAUAAACGGAGUCUCGAAAUGUCCUGUGUCUACGGGAGGCUCCACGUUGCCUCCACUCUCCUCACUGCUGAGUUGGAUCCCGAUGCGUGAAAGGUCAUAGUUCGUCGAUUUCCUUGAAGGGCAGCCUACAAGGAACAUUCCAGCUCUGCCCAUUUUGGAUGAGUGUAUACAUGCCCGGGAGGAACCUGCAGCUUAUAGGGCACCUGCGUGCCAGCUCGUUUGGAAACUGCCCUGAAGGGCGAGGCCCAUGUCCUCUGCAGCGCUCCACACUCUCCCUCCCCCCUGUCAGCUCUGGCGACCCUAGCAGGUACCACACCUUGUGCGGGAGAGUUUGACAAACACCUCAGCUGCUUCUUGGUACCUGAAGGUCACGUUCGUCCGCGUUAGCCACUGCCGCCUGACGGGGACAUCAUAACCCCGAGCUUCCUGCCACGCGGCUGCUCUGCCCGCCUCUGUCUGUGCGGUUCUAGUUCUUUGAGAGGAGCAGCGCCGGACCCCAUCUGAUGCACGCACACCCUGGCGGCACCUUUAUGCGCUCACGGGUUUGCUCAUCCAGCAAACACUCACCGAGUGCCUGGCUGUGUCCAGGAUGGCCCAGGUCAUGGAUGCAAGUUGGGUACAGCCACGGCCCUGACUUGGGGGGCACGCCGCCCAUGUGGGGAUGGGGUUGCCCUCCACUCGCUCCCCACCCACACCACAGACAGGCGCGAACCGUGUGGAACGUUCCACACCCGUUUACCAGGUGACUACCAUCCCGGCUCUCUGUGACUGCCGGGGCCAGAACCGGAAAUGCCCGGGCAAAUUUUGUGUCAGUUGGGCACACUGCUCGCCAAGCCCUGGGACCCAGAGCUGUGAGGGGCUGCACCUGGGUCCAAGCCCACCAGCUCUGCCUGCCUGGGGCAUGGCUCAGACCUGCCCUUGCGGCCCCUCGGUGCUGCCGCUCGCUCAGGACCAGAGAGAAAGGAGCUGGCCGCAGGGGUCCAGAUGGAUCCUGGGGGCUGAAUGAAGACCAAAGGAUGAUGCUGUUUGCCAGGACCGACACUGGAUGAGGGCUGAGGUCACAGGCCGCUGCUCAAGGACAAGCCUCUGUGGGAACAUCUCACGAGAUGCAGCUUCCACAGGAAGCCUCCCUGGCAGCCCGCAGAGCAGGCUGGGUCCCUGUAUGGAUUCCCAGUCUCUGCACUUGUCCUAUGUGACCCUUUAUUGCUCUCCAGGUCAGUCUCCCUCUCCUUUGAACCCUGUACCUGCUGUAUGAUGA
Neofelis nebulosa (Clouded leopard) is the source of this 2022-nucleotide long non-coding RNA. RefSeq lists it as uncharacterized. NCBI's taxonomy places the organism in Eukaryota, Metazoa, Chordata, Mammalia, Carnivora, Felidae. The record is from RefSeq and is a predicted model, not a curated record. The transcript has 3 exons.